GAUGAACGCUGGCGGCGUGCCUAAUACAUGCAAGUCGAGCGAACGGACGAGAAGCUUUCUUCUCUGAUGUUAGCGGCUGACGGGUGAGUAACACGUGGAUAACCUACCUAUAAUACUGGGAUAACUUCGGGAAACCGGAGCUAAUACCGGAUAAUAUUUUGUACCGCAUGGUUCAAAAGUGAAAGACGGUCUUGCUGUCACUUAUAGCUGGAUCCGCGCUGCAUUAGCUAGUUGGUAAGGUAACGGCUUACCAAGGCAACGAUGCAUAGCCGACCUGAGAGGAUGAUCGGCCACACUGGAACUGAGACACGGUCCAGACUCCUACGGGAGGCAGCAGUAGGGAAUCUUCCGCAAUGGGCGAAAGCCUGACGGAGCAACGCCGCGUGAGUGAUGAAGGUCUUCGGAUCGUAAAACUCUGUUAUUAGGGAAGAACAUAUGUGUAAGUAACUGUGCACAUCUUGACGGUACCUAAUCAGAAAGCCACGGCUAACUACGUG
This 497-nucleotide ribosomal RNA is filed under the name uncultured bacterium. RNAcentral's name for it is "partial 16S ribosomal RNA". It matches the Rfam family "Bacterial small subunit ribosomal RNA", at positions 28 to 507 of the family's 1533-position model. The record is from RNAcentral.